RNAcentral lists this transfer RNA (74 nucleotides) under Alkalibacterium sp. Its description in RNAcentral is "tRNA-Arg". It matches the Rfam family "tRNA". Rfam says of the family: Transfer RNA (tRNA) molecules are approximately 80 nucleotides in length. Their secondary structure includes four short double-helical elements and three loops (D, anti-codon, and T loops). Further hydrogen bonds mediate the characteristic L-shaped molecular structure. tRNAs have two regions of fundamental functional importance: the anti-codon, which is responsible for specific mRNA codon recognition, and the 3' end, to which the tRNAs corresponding amino acid is attached (by aminoacyl-tRNA synthetases). tRNAs cope with the degeneracy of the genetic code in two manners: having more than one tRNA (with a specific anti-codon) for a particular amino acid; and 'wobble' base-pairing, i.e. permitting non-standard base-pairing at the 3rd anti-codon position. Lineage: Bacteria; Bacillati; Bacillota; Bacilli; Lactobacillales; Carnobacteriaceae. The record is from RNAcentral.
GACCCUAUAGCUCAGCAGGAUAGAGCAAGUGCCUCCUAAGCACUAGGUCGGGGGUUCAAUUCCCUCUAGGGUCG